This 314-nucleotide ribosomal RNA is filed under the name uncultured bacterium. Its description in RNAcentral is "bacterial SSU rRNA". It matches the Rfam family "Bacterial small subunit ribosomal RNA", at positions 30 to 334 of the family's 1533-position model. The record is from RNAcentral.
AUUGAACGCUGGCGGCGUGCUUAACACAUGCAAGUCGAACGUGAAAGUCCUUCGGGCGAGUAAAGUGGCGCACGGGUGAGUAACGCGUGGAUAAUCUACCCUUAAGAUGGGGAUAACGGCUGGAAACGGUCGCUAAUACCGAAUACGCUCCCGAUUUUAUCGUUGGGGGAAAGAUGGCCUCUGCUUGCAAGCUAUCGCUUAAGGAUGAGUCCGCGUCCCAUUAGCUAGUUGGCGGGGUAACGGCCCACCAAGGCGACGAUGGGUAGCCGGUCUGAGAGGAUGACCGGCCACACUGGAACUGGAACACGGUCCAG